This 492-nucleotide ribosomal RNA is filed under the name uncultured bacterium. Its description in RNAcentral is "partial 16S ribosomal RNA". It matches the Rfam family "Bacterial small subunit ribosomal RNA", at positions 29 to 507 of the family's 1533-position model. The record is from RNAcentral.
AGUGAACGCUGGCGGUAGGCCUAACACAUGCAAGUCGAACGGCAGCACAGUAAGAGCUUGCUCUUACGGGUGGCGAGUGGCGGACGGGUGACGAAUACAUCGGAAUCUACUUUUUCGUGGGUGAUAACGUAGGGAAACUUACGCUAAUACCGCAUACGACCUACGGGUGAAAGUAGGGGAUCUUCGGACCUUUCGCGAUUGAAUGAGCCGAUGUCGGAUUAGCUAGUUGGCGGGGUAAAGGCCCACCAAGGCGACGAUCCGUAGCUGGUCUGAGAGGAUGAUCAGCCACACGGGAACUGAGACACGGUCCAGACUCCUACGGGAGGCAGCAGUGGGGAAUAUUGGGCAAUGGGGGAAAGCCUGAUCCAGCCAUACCGCGUGGGUGAAGAAGGCCUUCGGGUUGUAAAGCCCUGUUGUUGGGAAAGAAAAACAGCAGGUUAAUACCCGGCUGUUCUGACGGUACCCAAAGAAUAAGCACCGGCUAACUUCGUG